GUGGAUUAGAUACCCUGGUAGUCCUAGCCGUAAACGAUGUGAACUUGGCGUUGGUGGGUUAAACUCCAUCAGUGCCGCAGCAAACGCGAUAAGUUCACCGCCUGGGGACUACGGCCGCAAGGUUAAAACUCAAAGGAAUUGACGGGGGUCCGCACAAGCAGCGGAGCGUGUGGUUUAAUUCGAUGCUACACGAAGAACCUUACCCAGGCUUGACAUACAGGUGGUAGGGAUCCGAAAGGUGACCGACCCGCAAGGGAGCCUGAACAGGUGUUGCACGGCUGUCGACAGCU
Molecule: ribosomal RNA, 290 nt
Filed under: uncultured bacterium
Lineage: Bacteria
Description: partial 16S ribosomal RNA
Rfam family: Bacterial small subunit ribosomal RNA
Source: RNAcentral